RNAcentral lists this transfer RNA (71 nucleotides) under Marmota monax (woodchuck). RNAcentral describes it as "tRNA.Ala". It matches the Rfam family "tRNA". From Rfam's summary of the family: Transfer RNA (tRNA) molecules are approximately 80 nucleotides in length. Their secondary structure includes four short double-helical elements and three loops (D, anti-codon, and T loops). The record is from RNAcentral. Lineage: Eukaryota; Metazoa; Chordata; Mammalia; Rodentia; Sciuridae.
GGGGUUGUAGCUCAGUGGUAGAGUGCUUGCCUAGCACGCAUGAGGCACUGGGUUUGAUCCUCAGCACCACA